UGGAGCAUGUGGUUAAUUCGAAGCAACGCGCAGAACCUUUACCUACCCUUGACAUGUCCAGUAUGGUCACCAGAGAUGGAGACCUUCAGUUCGGCUGGCUGGAACACAGGUGCUGCAUGGCUGUCGUCAGCUCGUGUCGUGAGAUGUUGGGUUAAGUCCCGCAACGAGCGCAACCCUCGCUUCUAGUUGCCAGCAUUCAGUUGGGCACUCUAGAGGGACUGCCGGUGAUAAGCCGGAGGAAGGUGGGGAUGACGUCAAAUCAUCAUGCCCCUUAUGGCCUGGGCUACAAACGUAAUACAAUGGCGUAUACAAAGGGAUGCGAAAGGGUGACCUGGAGCAAAACUCACAAAGUACGUCUCAGUUCAGAUUGGAGUCUGCAACUCGACUCCAUGAAGGCGGAAUCGCUAGUAAUCGCGGAUCAGCAUGCCGCGGUGAAUACGUUCUCGGGGUUU
Molecule: ribosomal RNA, 452 nt
Filed under: uncultured Erysipelothrix sp.
Lineage: Bacteria; Bacillati; Bacillota; Erysipelotrichia; Erysipelotrichales; Erysipelotrichaceae
Description: bacterial SSU rRNA
Rfam family: Bacterial small subunit ribosomal RNA
Source: RNAcentral